AAACCAACAGGGAUUGCCUCAGUAACGGCGAGUGAAGCGGCAACAGCUCAAAUUUGAAAUCUGGCCUCUUUGGGGUCCGAGUUGUAAUUUGUAGAGGAUGUUUCGGGUACCGCCUCGGUCUAAAUUUCUUGGAACAGAAUGUCAGAGAGGGUGAGAAUCCCGUCUUGGACCGGCGGUAGGGCCCAUGUGAAACUCCUUCGACGAGUCGAGUUGUUUGGGAAUGCAGCUCAAAAUGGGUGGUAUAUUUCAUCUAAAGCUAAAUAUUGGCCAGAGACCGAUAGCGCACAAGUAGAGUGAUCGAAAGAUGAAAAGAACUUUGAAAAGAGAGUUAAACAGUAUGUGAAAUUGUUGAAAGGGAAGCGCUUGCAACCAGACUUGAGCGCGGCGGUUCCCCCUUCCUUUUGGUUGGGUUACUCCGUCGUGUCCAGGCCAACAUCGGUUCUGGGGGUCGGUUAAAGGCCUGGGGAAUGUAUCUACGUCUUCGGGCGUAGACUUAUAGCCCCGGGUGUCAUGCGACCUCCCGGGACCGAGGAACGCGCUUCGGCUCGGAUGUUGGCGUAAUGGUUGUAAGCGAC
RNAcentral lists this ribosomal RNA (575 nucleotides) under Exophiala bergeri. RNAcentral describes it as "partial large subunit ribosomal RNA". It matches the Rfam family "Eukaryotic large subunit ribosomal RNA", at positions 62 to 648 of the family's 3401-position model. The record is from RNAcentral. Lineage: Eukaryota; Fungi; Ascomycota; Eurotiomycetes; Chaetothyriales; Herpotrichiellaceae.